Molecule: ribosomal RNA, 403 nt
Filed under: Staphylococcus aureus
Lineage: Bacteria; Bacillati; Bacillota; Bacilli; Caryophanales; Staphylococcaceae
Description: bacterial SSU rRNA
Rfam family: Bacterial small subunit ribosomal RNA
Source: RNAcentral
GCAUAGCCGACCUGAGAGGGUGAUCGGCCACACUGGAACUGAGACACGGUCCAGACUCCUACGGGAGGCAGCAGUAGGGAAUCUUCCGCAAUGGGCGAAAGCCUGACGGAGCAACGCCGCGUGAGUGAUGAAGGUCUUCGGAUCGUAAAACUCUGUUAUUAGGGAAGAACAUAUGUGUAAGUAACUGUGCACAUCUUGACGGUACCUAAUCAGAAAGCCACGGCUAACUACGUGCCAGCAGCCGCGGUAAUACGUAGGUGGCAAGCGUUAUCCGGAAUUAUUGGGCGUAAAGCGCGCGUAGGCGGUUUUUUAAGUCUGAUGUGAAAGCCCACGGCUCAACCGUGGAGGGUCAUUGGAAACUGGAAAACUUGAGUGCAGAAGAGGAAAGUGGAAUUCCAUGUGU